This 497-nucleotide ribosomal RNA is filed under the name uncultured bacterium. Its description in RNAcentral is "partial 16S ribosomal RNA". It matches the Rfam family "Bacterial small subunit ribosomal RNA", at positions 28 to 507 of the family's 1533-position model. The record is from RNAcentral.
GAUGAACGCUGGCGGCGUGCCUAAUACAUGCAAGUCGAGCGAACGGACGAGAAGCUUGCUUUUCUGAUGUUAGCGGCGGACGGGUGAGUAACACGUGGAUAACCUACCUAUAAGACUGGGAUAACUUCGGGAAACCGGAGCUAAUACCGGAUAAUAUUUUGAACCGCAUGGUUCAAAAGUGAAAGACGGUCUUGCUGUCACUUAUAGAUGGAUCCGCGCUGCAUUAGCUAGUUGGUAAGGUAACGGCUUACCAAGGCAACGAUGCAUAGCCGACCUGAGAGGGUGAUCGGCCACACUGGAACUGAGACACGGUCCAGACCCCUACGGGAGGCAGCAGUAGGGAAUCUUCCGCAAUGGGCGAAAGCCUGACGGAGCAACGCCGCGUGAGAGAUGAAGGUCUUCGGAUCGUAAAACUCUGUUAUUAGGGAAGAACAUAUGUGUAAGUAACUGUGCACAUCUUGACGGUACCUAAUCAGAAAGCCACGGCUAACUACGUG